This 440-nucleotide ribosomal RNA is filed under the name uncultured bacterium. RNAcentral describes it as "partial 16S ribosomal RNA". It matches the Rfam family "Bacterial small subunit ribosomal RNA", at positions 338 to 795 of the family's 1533-position model. The record is from RNAcentral.
CCUACGGGAGGCAGCAGUGGGGAAUAUUGCACAAUGGGGGAAACCCUGAUGCAGCGACGCCGCGUGAAGGAAGAAGUACUUCGGUACGUAAACUUCUAUCAGCAGGGAAGAAAAUGACGGUAACUGACUAAGAAGCUAUGGCCAAUUACGUGAUAGCAGCCGCGGUAAAACGCAGGGGGCAAGCGUUAUCCGGAUUGACUGGGUGUAACGGGAGCGUAGGCGGUUUAGCAAGUCAGAAGUGAAAGCCCAGGGCUCAACUCCGGGACUGCUAUUGAAACUGUUGAACUAGAUUGCAGGAGAGGAUAGUAGAAUUCCUGGUGUAGCGGUGAAAUGCGUAGAUAUUAGGAGGAACACCAGUGGCGAAGGCGGCUUACUGGACUGUAAAUGACGCUGAGGCUCGAAAGCGUGGGGAGCAAACAGGAUUAGAUACCCGAGUAGUC